RNAcentral lists this non-coding RNA (26 nucleotides) under Mus musculus (house mouse). Lineage: Eukaryota; Metazoa; Chordata; Mammalia; Rodentia; Muridae. The record is from RNAcentral.
UAGAGCUAGGCAUGGUAUAAGCAUCU